GACUCAUAUAUUCCAUCUGAAGCUUUAAGAUGCAUACAAGUUGGUCUUUUAUGUCUACAACUUCAUCCAAAUGAUAGACCAAAUAUGACAUAUGUGCUUGCGAUGUUGACGAAUGAAAGUGUUUUAGCCCAACCAAAGGAACCUGGUUUCAUAAUACAAAGGGUCUCUAAUGAGGGAGAAUCUACAACGAAGCCUUUCUCAAUGAAUGAGGUUACUAUUUCGGUAAUAGAUGCUAGAUGAAAAACAUAUAUCAAUGGACGUUUAGUUCCGUCAACUUUGAUUAGAUAUACCAAUGGAAAAAUUUCAUCUCAAUAGCCUAUAGCUACAGUAGUUUUGGACAACAAAAUGUGAGACUUAUACCUACGGUCAAUGACACUUAUUGAGUUAUUUUAUGAAAAAUGUUACAUGAACACCCUUUAUUCCUGCACCUCAUUGUACACCUAAUGUAUUAGGAUAUUUUUGUAGGUUCAUCUCACAAUAUCUUCUAUUUGUGUGGAGUUCAGGUUGCCACGUGUCAGAAUUUUGUGUGGAUGUAAAGGGUGUAUUGCCACAUGAGGUGGUACAUGUAUCAUCACUCUUAUUUUAUCCAUAGCAGUUUUCCAUUGGUAGGUUUGAGAAUAUUUUUUUAGUAUAUAUAAAUAGUUUUUCGACUCAAAUAAUUCUUUCAUAUUUUUCAUUAUGAUUGAGACCGUAGGGAGUAGUAGGCUUUAAUAUGUUUUUCGUCCAUGCAAUUAGGGGUCAUUUAAAAAUUGGUCCCUGUAAUCGUUAAUCUGGUAAAUUAACCUUGUAAAGUUUAAUCAUUUAAAAUUUCGUCCCUACACCCAUUUAAUUAUUGUCAUGUCAUCAAAUUAGCAAGAUGGCACGGGAAUGGACAAAAAUACUCUCAUCAUCCUUCUCCAAACAAUCUCUCUUCUUCUCUUUCCCUUCCAUCAAACACAACAACCUUAAAAAUUAACUUGCCUCCUCAACUACGAACCAGAGAAAUAUGAAAGGUAGGUGUUAUAUUGGCUUUCAUAUUUUUUACUUUCAUAUGCGAUGAAAUGUCUCCUUGUGUAAGAUUUUGUUGUAUGCUUUUUUCCAUAAUCAAAAUAUCAUUAUAAGAUUUUUUUCUAGUUACUAUAAUAGUUAAUUAAUAUGAUUCUUUUGAUAUGCUUUCUAUCCUCUAAUUGAGUUUCACAGGGUAAAAAGCCUUCACUACAAAUCAAAUCAUUCUCAUAGGUUUCAUGUUUGUUUUCCUGCUUGUUACGGCUCGAUUAACCUGCGCUAGGCAUCCCCCCUUUUAUCAAUAAAAUUCCAACAUACCCAUGUUUUUUUCAACUUCCAACAGUAUUGCUCUCACUUAAUUGGUUUGCAUAAAAAAAAACACCUGAAACUGAAAGCUGAAACACUUGGUUUGCAUAAUCCAACAACAUUGCUCUCACUUGGAAGAUGAAAUCGAAAGCUGAAACUGAAUUGAAACAAAAUUGAAAUUGAAAUCAGUAGAAUCGAUGUUCAUGUGAAUCGAUGAAGAAGAAAUUGGAAUGGAAGAAGAAGGUCUUGAUGGAUGUUCAUGUGAAUCGAUGUUUUUUUUUUCAAUUUAGGAAUGAAUGUUUUGUUGCAGAUCCAUUGAGAAGAGGAAGAGGGAAUGAGAAGAAGAUGAAGACAGGGGCAAUACUGUCAUUUCACGUGUGGGUUGGCCAAUUAAAGUCAUUAAACGGGUCAUGGGACGAAAUUUUAAAAGAUUAAACUUUGCAAGGCUAAUUUGCCAGGAUUAACGAUUACAGGGACCAAUUUUUAAAUGACCCCUAAUUGCAGGGAUGAAACACAUAUUAAAGCCUACAAAGUAUUAUUAUGCAAGCCCCUAAACCACUUGAAAAUUGUCGGGAAUUUGAAUCUCAACGUUUUACCAUAAAGAUUCCCAUCAUAACAAUCUGGAGCAGUGUCGUGAUCCAAAAUAAUUUUCAAUAUCUGAAAGGUGGACUUCUUAUCCAUCCGCUUGUCACUUUUGGAAAUGUUGUAUCAUAUGACUGUUCGGCCAUAAUGACCGUCCAACAUCAACCAAUAGCCUUGUAAACAUUGUCCAUCUCUUUUACGUUGUAACAACACACAAUCGGAAAUGGGCGGUGAUUCUCUCUUGAAUUUUAAUUUUGUCAAAUCGACCCAAUUUUGAGUUGUUAGUGAGUACAUCAUCCAACAUAAAACCGUAAGAUUGUGCAUCCACGUUGUCGGAUUUGUCAAAAGAGACAUUCACAUACUGCUCAACCAAACUCUUAAAUUCUUGGUAGCUUAAAACGUGUAUGCGAAGAUAAUCCAUUUUUUCACUCUUUCUCCUGCAUAAAUUUGAAAGCAAAUCAAUAUAUGGGUUUGACGCAAUUUAAGAAGUUGUGCAUAGAAAUAAUAUAAUAAAAGAGUGAGAAGAAGAAGAGAACACACAAGGGAGGCUAGAAGAUUAAAUUACAUUUUGUUGUUCUUCUUCUUGGUUCUUGUUAUUUUGCUCAAUCGCAUGUCCACUCAAGGCAGUAAUGUGGCCAUCAUAACAGUAACAGAGAGAGAGCAGUCAAUUAACAUUUUUUUAUGUGGGCAAACAUUUAGUAAUGUGGUCACAGAUGUUGGAAUCCCAUACAUAGUUCGUGGUGAUUCGAUAAAGAAAGGAGCUGUGGUCAUUGACAUGGGAACAAAUCAAGUUAAGGUAACAACUCAAAAAUUUUUACUUCAAUAUUUUAAGGUUUCCUUUGGAUUCUGAAUGCAUGGAAGUACUUGAAAUUUUUAUUUUUCUAUUUGAAGAACUUGGUGCUAUUUUCAGAUGACUUGUCAAAUAUAUACUCAAAGUUAAAAAGGCACAAACUCAAAGAGGUAUCAUUUAAGGAAGAGAUAGUAAAUUCAACACACUGAUGCUAAAUGUUUGCCCCUUUGAAAUCACUAAUCAUGUUGUUAUGACAAUUCAUUUUGACCAUCCUAAAAUUGUUUCAAAUUGGAUUUCUAUGUUAUAAAUAGGGAGCGUGUACUUAUAUGGACCAGGAAAAAAAAUUGUACUCACAUUGUCAAGUGGUUGUUUUUCCUCUCAACCUACAAACCGGGUUUGCAAGGGUUGAGUUAGACAACCUGGCCUACUUUCUAAGUUGGUAUCAUAGUCUAUACAAGAUCCGUUAGGUCACAUGUUGUCUGAUUAUCGCUAUCAAACCACUUGAGUCACAUUCUAGAUGUCUAGUCCUGGACGUGAGGGUGUGUGUGUUAAGAAUUCCACAUUAGAUGAGAUAUGACUAAAAGCGGUGGAAAAUCAUCACUUUACAUGUCCGUUUUCUAAGGACGAGCUAGUCCCAAUACAAAAUUCUAACAGUUACGCUUAAGUAUGGUUAUUAGUUAUGAAAUUUAACUAAUUUAACAAAGAGACUUGUGGCAUCAUUUAGGUUUCAUUAUGGUAUUAUAAAUUUUUAGAAAAUGCAAUGUAUGAUUGUUGUACCAUAAAAUACGUCUUUGUGAAAAUAGCACACAAAUAUGUACUCUUCUCACCUGGAUUACAGAAACAGUAAAUGGAAGAAAAAUAGAUCACAAUAUGUAAAUAAAUGAGUGUUUUAUUUAUGAAAGUUAAAGGUAAAAUGCAAAAGAUGAAUGUAUCACCCACAAAGCCAUGCCACUACAGAGAACAGUAUUAUUUGUUCAUAGCUAUCAAAAUGGUUUUUCCAAAAAUUUACCCCAUAAUUCUAUCCUCCACCUUCUAUAACAAACUUAAAUAUAUAUCUUCCCUGAUCUCUAAUUUUCCUCAAUUGGUUUUAGUCACUUGACAUUUGACAAUGUAGAAGCUUGAGCCUCAAGCAAAAUGAAUGUAUGUUGCGAUUUGGGAAAGGAAACAAAGAGAAGACAUCAUAUGGGAAAACAUGACAAUUAGGGAAAAGAAAAGACACGUUAGUGCCCUAAAAAUAGUAUGACCCUAAAUUGGUACAAGGAUGGAAAAUGGCAUCAGCCAUUACUCCGGUUCCUGGAGGCGUUUACAGUAUCGAUGUUUCUCUCCAACACACUUGAUUCCGCAAAACGUGCAUUUCGAAUCGUUUGAAAGAAAUUGUUGAUUCACUUCUCCAUGUUAUAGGCAUAGCGUCUGCCGAAAAGCCUAAUAUUCUUUCCUUGAGUGAUGAAGAUGCAUGUUGAUGUCAUGUUACUGUUUCUUUUAACAGGAGUUUGCUAACUAAUUACUAUCAAAUCUCAAGUUGCGAUUUUGAUUCGUUUGCUAUAAGAAUAUUGUUGUAUAUAACAAUGAGUUAAUAAUCAUUUUAGUCUCCCAAUGUUUACCGGGUAGUCACAAUAGUUAAUGUAUCGAAAUUUCAAAAUAGUUCAUGAUUGGACAUUUCCUUAAUCAAAAUAGUACUUGUCUUACGAUGUUCUGAUAAUAUUGUCAUAUUUGUCUCUCAAUAUAUUUAAAUUCAUAAAAGUACUUAUUUAUUGUCAUAUCAAUCCCUUUAUGAAAAGAAUUUUCGUCAAUAUUGAAGGACUGUUUCAACAAUAACUACUUUGACUAACAUAGUGCACAUUCAUGGAUUAUUUUGGAUUUUUGAUACUUUGAAAUACUAAUAUGAGUACUCUUUGCAUAUUCAAGGACUAAAAUGACUAUUACCCCUGUAAUAAUAUAAUUUUUGUAUUCCUAAAAAAAAAACCUAUGUAACAAUUUCUCUCUACUUUUUUUAAACAAACCGAACUUAAUUCGCUUCACUAAUCAACAAAGUCUAUACAAGGAGGAUCACACUCAAAAAUACGUCAACUAAUCCAAAAAAUGGCCGUCCAUUCGAGAGUAUAUGCAAUCAUAUUUGUUUAUCCUCUAACAAACUUAAACUUAAAGUUGGAAUGCAAAAGUAGAAAACUCUUAAUAUUAAAGAAAAAUAUCUCUGUUUUUCUCUUUUUUUUUACCCACAAAUUUCUCUCUUUUAAAAACUUGACAAGCGUGCUUUCAUUGUAUUUCUGUGCGGAUAAAGUCCUGGUUUUAUUUCUCUCAAUUUUAUUUAUUUAUAUUGAUGGUUUAAGACCUCCAACGAAAUAAAAAUGCAAAAACGAUAUUACCCAAAGUUGAACAUGAUAAUACUGGAGGUUGAAAUGGUCCAACCACUAUGCUAUAUUAUAUCAUUUGUUUGAAACAUAAAUGUGAAAACAACUAAAACAUUGGAAACUCGUCGAUUAAAAAAAAGAGUCAAAUUUACACAUAUAUUAUAUCAACCUAAGAGAUGUCUAGGUCACCAGAAACACUUGUUAGAAAAUGUCCAUUGUAUUUGUUGACAUAACACCUUAAGAAAGUCGUAUAUUUUGAAUUACUUAACAAUAAAAUUUGUGUGAAAUGUUUCAUUUUUGCUUCUUCAAAACAAUAGUGUUAGAUGCUUAUCAACGACUUAAUUUAUAAACUUGCGUACCUACUUAAAUUGAAGCAGAAUUUUCUCAGAAAUCUCCAUCUUACCUUACACGUUUUUUUAAAGAAAAUCUUGCAAUACACGUUAUAUCAAUUUUCCAUUAAACAAAAUGACUCUCAAAGUCCCUAACUCAAUUUUUGUCAUUUAUCUUUUUUUUUCACGUUUUUUUUUCUUUUGAUUCGUUUACAUAGUGAUUUUCAAGUAUUAAAUAUAAAAAAAAAUUUAAAAAAAACUAACAAUACAUAAAUGAAAGACCAUAAAUUUAAAUUCUAAAAGCUUUAUAUUAAAAUAAAAUCAUGAUUUGCGCUUGAAAAUUCAUAUGCAAAUUGUUCAAAGGGACCAAAAUAACAUGAAAAGAUAAAUGACGAAAUUGUUAUCUAAAAUAAGUUAAGAGAGGAUGAUAAUCAUUUUGUCUUAAUUAAUUAUUAUUUUGCAUCUUUGCAAGGCCAACCCAAUCAUUUUAAAUAGCAAGUGAGGUUUCAAACAAAAUUUAAUGUACAUGAGGUCUUUUUCUAAAUAUAAAGCAUUUAUUUAUAAAACUAAUGAAAAAUAUUAAUUUUUUUAUUUAAAAGGAUAGUUUUAGUUUAUUCAAAGAAAAUAAAAGAGGUCCUCGUCAGUGUAACUCAGUUGGUAGGGGCAACGCAUAAUAUAUGCAAGGUUCGAAGUUUAAACCUCGGCCACUACCAAAAAAAAAAAAAGAUAGUUUUAGUAGUCUUACUCUUAGGCCAUCGACGCUGCAAUUUAGGUCUACGGAUUCUAGUAACUUUGUUGGAGUCUGGUUGUUCUUGAUUUUCGUUGUCUUAUUUUUUUAGUCAAGUAGCCUAGUGGCUGACGAAAUUCACUUUAAAGAUGAAUAGUGAGGUGUCCGGGGUUCGAACCCCUGCACAUAUUGUACAUUAUCCUUUAACAAAUGAGCUAAGCUCAUGGGGACUGAUUUUCAUUGUCUUACUGGUCAGAUACAUAGAUUAUACGGUACUGUUGCUUUCAAAAUGCAAAAAAAAAAAAAAAAAAAAAAAAAAAAAAAAAAAAAAUUAAGUUUUCUAAUUCUGGUACUCUAAUAUAUAAAUAAAUCAUAUUUCAAACGUUGCCAUUUCUCUUCUUUAGUAAAGGUCGGAUACUUGGAUUAUACGUUGCUGUUGCUGUUGCUUUCAAAAUCCAGAAGAAAAUUAAGUUUUCUAAUUCUGGUACACUAAAUAUGAACAAAUCAUAUUUUGAAUGACAUCCAAAUCAAUGUCUACUCCUAGAUAAAAUAUCCAAAUCGAUCCAAAUAAAAAAAGUAAACCCAUCUAUAUACUUCGAUAUCAUACAAAAUAGCAUUUUGUUAGAUUUUUUUUGUAUAAUUUUUAUAGAAACAAUUCAAAUCACAUAAAUUUUAAAUUAUUUUUUUGAAAUUGAAUCAAGCUUAGACUAUUCCUUUGAUCUCAAAUAUAAACAAAUAUUCCUCUUUUUUCUUCAGAUUUAUUGAAUAAGUGAUGUAUGUAAAUCAUAAUAUUUACUACCUCCGUCCCUAACUAUAGGGCCCUUUUAAAAAAAUAACGGGAAUUAAGAUAGUGGAUAUUUUUAUUAAAUAUCUUUGUAAUUACUAUUGUUUUUACAAUUUUACCCUUUAAGAGAGAGAGAUAGUUUAUGUUUUCAACAUGUUAUUUAUUGCUGAUUGAAGAAAAAAAUGUAUAAUAAAUAGGGACAUGUAUGUAAAGAAAUAAUUAAUGUAGUUGAAAAUAGUAAAAGGAUCUUAUAAAAAGGGACAAAAAAAAAUUCUUAAAAGAUCUUAUAAUUAGGGACGGGAGUAGAAUUUGUUUGAAUGGAUGUUCAUUUUAGUUGGUAUAUACUCAUUUGAAGUAUACACUUUAGUUGGUCCAAAGUUCUAAUGUUACUACGUGUCAUUUUAACAAUGGGAUAGUUGUUAUUCAUCAAUAUAUGACCAAACAUGGUUGUGGUGAUGAUAAUCGAUGAGGACGAUGAUGAGGAAGGAUGGUAGUCGUGACGGAGGCUAGCAGUGACGAGAGAUUUUACGGUGGCUGGUCUAACGGGAGAGAAAACAGAAGAGGUAGAGAAGGAAGAAGGAAGAGGGCAGAUUGGAUUUUUACAAAAUUGCCCCUAUUUUAAUGUUGAAAUGUUAAAAUUAUCCUUGGUAUUGUAUUUGUCAAAUAAUUUGUGUUUGUUUUAUCAUUUCGAAACAAAUGUGUCUCCACCAAUCAAUGUACUUAAUUUCCAACCCGAUGUUGGCCAUUUGUUUUGAAAUUUAAGUUGAAUCUAACUCAACCUUAUAAAACUGAUCGGUAAGUGUUUACCGGUGUUUUUGGUAAACAAUAAAACUAAUUUUAAAUUGCAGGAUCAAACUAGAAAUCCUAGGACAUGUUGUGCAAUGAUUUUCUAGAAAAUAUAUGAAUGUUCAUCAUAUUUAUGAAUUUGCUUAUGAACAAGAUGAAGAAAACUGUUUUAUGUUGAAGCUAAUUACCUUUCGACGGGAAUCAACAAUAUAUUUAAAGAUUAAAAACUUAAAAGACUUCGAAUUCUAAAGGCAAAGAAACUUAAAGGAAAGUAAAUUGCAUUCCAUAAAAUGAAAAACUACUAUAUAUACACAAGAAAAAUAACUACACAGACCAACGGUCAGAAACUAAAUCAUUUCGACAACUUUGGCUUGUUUUCCACGUGUCUGACCCUUCAGUCUUGCCUCUCCAAGGAAUUUGAACUCCUCUAGUCAAACCCUCAAAACCUUGUCGAAACCAUUUUCUGUCGAAAUCAUCAACUUCAUCCUGGACUUAGAGAAUUUCAUGGUUUUGAUUAUCUAGUUACCGGUCAAAAUACACAAACGAAAAUACAUGCUAACAAUAAGGUGAUGAUAUUUUACCGAUAAACACAUGUUCAUGUCUCAUUGUAUACCAUUUGAGACUCUUAAUUAAUAUGUGUUGUCAUGCUCAUGACUUAACAUGUAGAAUAUGAUCCAGGUGAUGGAUAGCGGUGAUCAAAUAGCAUUUGACUCAAAAAAUAUUAGAUAAACUCUUAUAUCAUUUAAAAACUUAACAUGUGGAAUAUGAUCCAGGUGAUCUGAUAGCGGUGAUCAAAUAGCAUUUAACUUAAAAAAAUAGACACUAAUAUCAUUUAAAAAUUUAGAUUGGACUCACCUUAACACUUACAUAAUUGUCUUGUAAAAUAAAAAUUCUCUCCAAGACAUGUUCAUGAUUUAUCUUAGUUUAUGCUAUCAUAUACAUGUAAUUUCAAUAUUAACUAUCAUCUUUUUGCUAGAUUUAAUAAAAGAAAAAGACAUUAGUUAAUCUUAUAAAGUUACCUCUCUAUAAUAUACACCAUCCUCCAAUCAUUAUUAAAAGUACGAGUCAACUUUUUAAGUUCAUUCAAUAAAUGAUGUAUGUGGUAUAUAUAAUAGACCAUGUACAUCAUUUAUUGAAUGAAUCUAAAAAGUGAAUUUUUACUUAUAGGGAAAUGCUAACCUAAAACAUAAAACUUUCUUUUUUCGGCUUCCUAAACUAUUGUCCUAAGGGCACCGGUUAACAUAACCCUUAUUUAUAAUAUGAUCGGAGGAUGUCCAGACACAAAGUUUAGUCCCAAAGUCAAUUUAACAUGUUUUUUUCUUUUUUUAAGGAAAGUCAAUUUAGCAUAUAUAAACGCACAAACAUAAAAUGUGUGUCUGCCUCAAACUCAAUCAAUGCAAAAUGACCAAUAUUCUUCCUAUGAUAUUGUUUGUUAUUCUUAGUCUCCUGUUGUUCUUCUUUCAAUUAUCUACUUCAAUUGAUACCAUCACCCAAUUUCAAUCUCUUCAUGAUGGCAACACUUUGGUUUCUAAUGAUGGAACCUUUGAGUUAGGAUUUUUCACACCAGGUAGUUCCACAAAUCGCUAUGUGGGAAUAUGGUACAAAAAUAUGCCUAAUAGAAUAGUUUGGGUUGCAAACCGUGAUGAUCCAAUCAAAGACAACACCUCCAACUCAACCAUGUUGAUCAUGAGCAAUGAUGGAAACCUUGAAAUACUUACCAACAACAAUCAAACACUUGUUUGGUCAACAAACAUCACAACACAAUCUUUGUCAACUACAAGUUCUCAUGUUGCUCAACUAUUAGACAAUGGAAACUUUGUAAUCAAAGCCAACAACAAUACUGAUCAACAAAGUAAUAAUUUCUUAUGGCAAGGUUUUGAUUUUCCUUGUGAUACUUUGUUGCCAGACAUGAAGCUUGGAUGGGACCUAAAAACCGGUCUUAAUCGUCAAUUAACUUCAUGGAAAAGUUGGGACGAUCCAUCUUCGGGAGAUUUAACUUGGGGUAUUGUCCUUAGUAGUAAUCCAGAAGUUGUAUUGAAAAAAGGAUCAGUUGAGAUUCAUAGAACUGGCCCUUGGAAUGGAGUUGGAUUUAGUGGAGCACCUGUGGAGAUUGUUACUUCAAUUGUUGUAAUUACAACGUCGGUGAACAAUUCAAAUGAAGUUUAUUACAUAUAUAGUCUUGUAAACAAGAGUAAUGUUUCAAUAACUUAUUUGAACCAAACAACUAGUCAUCGCGAACGUGUUAAUUGGAUUCCAGAAGACGAUACUUGGAGUGUUAUUGAGUCGUUGCCAAAAGAUGAUUGUGAUGUCUAUAAUCGUUGUGGCCCUUAUGGAAAUUGCGUUCAUAACGAGUCUCCAAUUUGCCAAUGUUUAGAUGGGUUUGAGCCUAAAUCGCCAAAAAAUUGGGACGCAUCAAAUUGGACACAAGGAUGUGUGCGCAAAGGUGACGAAGAUUGGAGAUGUGGAGUGAAUGAUAGUUUUGUAAGAUUUUAUGGAUUGAAAUUGCCAGAUACAUCACAUACUUGGGUUGAUGCAAAUAUGACACUUGAGAAUUGUAAGAAUAAAUGCUUGGAAGAUUGUUCUUGCAUGGCUUAUUCAAACUUGGAUGUGGCUGGAGAUGGUAGUGGUUGUUCUAUAUGGUUUGGUGAUCUUAUAGACUUGAAACAGAUUUCAUCAUUCCAACAAUAUCUAUAUAUUCGAAUGGAUGCUUCCACAGUAGGUAAAUGCUAUGUUCUUCUCACACAUUUAUGCAUUUUUUAUGGAUUAUAUAUGUCUAGUCUUUAACUAUAUGGUUUUAGUAAAUGAUUAAUUUGUUUACCUAAGUUUUGUCUCUUGUCAAUUUAACUUGCACAAAAUUGAUCCUAAAACAUUCUGAACCAUCUGUCAAUAGUUUAUUCUAGGCUUUUAUGAAGCAUUCUAUCAAGAGUCCUUUUUACAUCACACACUACAAAAACACCUUGAUUUUCCUCCAGCCACUAGACUCUCAAAGAUACUGGUGGUUUUUUCUGCCGGAAAUGACACUUUAGGAGGCGCUGCGGUUAAACUUCUUCCGAUGGCACAGCAUUCGCUACUAUUUCCGACAGCCAUGACACAAUAUAAGGGAAAUACAUCUUUGCAAUAUUCUGGAAGUUCGAACCUCAAAUUCCUCAUUUAUUUAUCUACCUAUUAGACUACUUGACAAACAAAAUAUAUAUUACCAAGAAAUUAAUAAGAUAUUUCACUGUAAAAAAAAAUUACGAAGGUCGCAUGACAAAGUUUUAAACAAACCAAAAAGUCAACCCCAUACCAUAUAUAGAGAGAAUAUCAAACAUGUCAUAUAUAUAAAAAAUUAUUUUUUAUGGAAAUGAAAAAAUUAAUUUCAACCUUUCAUUUAAUUAAUGAGUAGUGGUGGUCACGAUUUUCUUAGAUUUGACAAGUAUUCAUUUCUUUUUCAAAAGAUUCAAAUGGAGAUGUUUCUGGUGGGAAGAAAAAUCAUACAUUGGCAAUUGCAGUCACUAUUCCUUUGAUCAUCAUUUUACUGCUGGUGAUCAUAGUCUUCUACGUUUACAAGAGAAAAAGAAAGCAAAGAGGUAAAUUUCUUGACCCAAAUAAAAUAUAUUUCAAUUCAAUGACAUAGAGUUCUUGAAAUUUGUUUCUAAAAAAUGUAUUCUACCUCUUUUCUUUGAUAUAUGACAUUUUCUUUGCUAAUCUCUUUCUAUAUGAAUGCUUUCAAAUGAUUUUCAACAAAAAAUAUCUUUCAAAUUAUAAAUGUAUGCAGUAAUUAUAUCUUUACCAAAAUACCUUAAUUAUUUGUCAAACAAAAUACCUUAAUUAUUGUAAUUUUUAUAAUAGAAAGGUAAAGUCAUUUUUUACAUAAAUAUCUAUCUUGAAAGGUAAAAAUUUAAUAUGGUUAAAAUAUGGUAAAAAUGCAGAUACCAAUGACAUAUUUUUAAGUUUAACUUUAAUUAAUACCCUUUUUAUAGAGGUAAUUUUAAUUAAAGUACUUGAAUAUAAUAUAAGCAGAAAAUUUUAAAUAUAAGAAAAAUGCGAAUAUUAAUUUUUCUAUCUCACAUUUUAUACGAAAAAAGAUUUGUAUUAUAUUUAUUUACUAAGAAAUUUCCAUCAUCGUAUUUUUUUGGUACAAACCAACAUGGUAUUGUAAUUAGUCUCCUUUAAUUAAGAAAAUGUUCAACAAUUUAAACCAACUGAAAUGUUGCAUGAUCUAAUGCAUGCCGCUGCCAGGACUUUGCAUGUAAUAAUAGUAAAUAAAAAUGGAAAAUUCUAUGGUGAAGUAUGAUAAUGAUUUUUCUAGUAAAGUUAAUAUUAUAGUAUCAAAAAUGUAGUGAGUAACAACCUUGUUUUAUCAAUUUAUCAGAUCAACAGGACUACAUUAAAUCUAAUUUUAUCCUACCUUGUUUUAAGUGUAACAUCCCCACAAAGUGUAACACUUAAGACUAUCACAUAACAUCAACAACUCUAUUUGCAUGUUAAAGAUGCCAACGAUAAAAUAGUACAUUAAAUCCAAGAUUUUGCAAGCAUUACUAGAUGAAUUACUAUUGAUCAUUAAUCAAUAAUCAACAAUUUAAAAAUGAAUCAAACAUUAAGAUCAAAAUUAACUUUUUUAAAAAAGUCAGUUUCCUGACUACACCGUAGAUGCUUCCAAUAAAAAUUUGUCAUAAUAAAUACCACAAUGCAAAACAUGUGGUAUUGCAUUGUGGUUUUGCAAAACAUUAUGAGUACAUAGUCUCUUGGAAGGGAAUUAAUGUGCAGAUUUUUUUAGUUAAGUUUAGUGUCUCAUCUAACUUUUAAGUUUUUUUGUUACGAUUUUCUUUAGGCAGAUCUUUUGAAUCUUCUUCAAAAUGAUGCAGUUGAAACUAUUUGUUUGAGAGAGUAACUCUCUUUUUGUUACUUUUGUUUUCCCUUUUUUCUCUAGUUUGUACACCAAAAAAAACAUUAUGAUUACAUCGAAAUUUUGUCCAACAAAAAUUUAUUUUUUAAAAUUUUGUCCAAAAAAAUUUUAUGCCAAUAUUGCAUUGACGUCAUUUACUUAUGGAAGAUAAUUCAGAGAUGAACACUUUAACCGAAAUAAAAUAUGAAGACCAACAAGAUUUUGAGCUUCCUUUGUUCAAUAUUUCUACAAUGAUAAGUGCCACAAAUGACUUUUCGAACUAUAACAAACUUGGAGAAGGUGGCUUUGGACCAGUAUAUAAGGUAAACAUGCAUGCAACAACUUGAAUACAACACAUGAGAAAUCUCUUAGAGUCUCAUUUCCUAACAAUUUUUUCCAACUAUAAUAUUUAGGGUACACUAGCUACAGAUGGGCAAGAGAUUGCCGUCAAAAGGCUUUCAGGAAGUUCAAAACAAGGAUCAAAAGAAUUUAAAAAUGAAGUUAUAUUAUGUGCAAAACUUCAACAUCGAAAUCUUGUUAAGGUUCUUGGUUGUUGCAUUCAAGGAGAAGAGAGAAUGCUUAUCUAUGAAUAUAUGCCCAACAAAAGCUUAGAUUCAUUUCUUUUUGGUAAGUAUCUCUAUUAAGCUUGAACAUUAAUAUAUAUAUAUAUAUAUAUAUAUAUAUAUAUAUAUAUAUAUUUAAAUUUUUGAAAGAAAAUAAUAAAUAAUAUUUAUAUUCUUAAUAGAUCCAGCUCAAAAGAAACUUUUAGAUUGGUUUAAGCGCUUCAACAUCAUUUGUGGAGUUGCUCGUGGACUGAUUUAUCUUCAUCAAGAUUCUAGAUUGAGGAUCAUACAUCGAGAUCUAAAACCAAGUAAUAUUUUAUUAGACAAUGAUAUGAAUGCCAAAAUAUCAGAUUUUGGCUUGGCAAAAAUUUGUGGGGAUGAUCAAGUUGAGGGGAAUACAAAAAGAGUAGUUGGAACACAGUAAGUAGUUUCAUUGAUUUUUAUUUUUUAUUUUUUGAAGAAUCCUUGAUAUUUUGAAGUUAUUUGAAGAAAAAAAAUAAUUCAAAUAUAAUUAACUCAUGUGUACACUUUUCAGUGGUUAUAUGGCUCCAGAAUACGCCAUUGAUGGACUAUUUUCUACAAAAUCUGAUGUAUUUAGCUUUGGUGUAUUAUUACUAGAGAUUGUAAGUGGACAGAAAAAUAAAGGACUUACAUUUCCAAGCAACAACCAUAAUCUUGUUGGGCAUGUAAGUAAACACAAACAACUUUAUAUUCCCUUAAUGAAAUAAUAUAUGACAACUAUUUUUAUUUUUGUAGGCUUGGAGGUUAUGGAAAGAGGGAAAUUCGGAAGAAUUGAUUGAUGAUUGUCUAAGGGACUCAUAUAUUCCAUCUGAAGCUUUAAGAUGCAUACAAGUUGGUCUUUUAUGUCUACAACUUCAUCCAAAUGAUAGACCAAAUAUGACAUAUGUGCUUGCGAUGUUGACAAAUGAAUCUGUUUUAGCCCAACCAAAGGAACCUGGUUUCAUAAUGCAAAGGGUCUCUAAUGAGGGAGAAUCUACAACGAAGUCUUUCUCAAUCAAUGAGGUCACUAUUUCGUUAAUAGGUGCUAGAUGAAAAAAA
Molecule: long non-coding RNA, 14125 nt
Filed under: Medicago truncatula (barrel medic)
Lineage: Eukaryota; Viridiplantae; Streptophyta; Magnoliopsida; Fabales; Fabaceae
Description: long non-coding RNA (MTRU_LNC000098)
Source: RNAcentral